This 902-nucleotide ribosomal RNA is filed under the name Xenophrys serchhipii. RNAcentral describes it as "partial 16S ribosomal RNA". The stretch from base 173 to 902 matches the Rfam family "Bacterial large subunit ribosomal RNA", at positions 569 to 1866 of the family's 2925-position model. The record is from RNAcentral. Lineage: Eukaryota; Metazoa; Chordata; Amphibia; Anura; Megophryidae.
GACGCCCCUAAUCCAGCCCACAUCCCCUGUCUCAAAUUUAUUUCCCCCCAAAAAAAAUAAAUCAUUCUUGAUCUAAAGUAAAUGCGAUUGAAAAAGAAAAACUUGGAGCCUUAUUAAUAGUACCGUAAGGGAAAGAUGAAAUAGAAAUUAAACAAAUAUUUAAGCAACAAACAGUAGAGACUUCAACUCGUACCUUUUGCAUUAUGGUUUAACUAGUCCAACCAGGCAAAAAGAUCUUUAGUCUGACUUCCCGAAACUAAGUGAGCUACUCCAAGGUAACCCUAGAGUUAACCCGUCUCUGUGGCAAAAGAGUGGGAUAACCUUCGAGUAGAGGUGACAUACCUAUCGAACUUAGUAAUAGCUGGUUACUCAAGAAACGAAUUUAAGUUCCUUCUCAAGAGUAUUUAGCAUGCUUACAUUAAGCAAAUUUAACCUCUUAAGACCUAUUCAAUUAGGGUACAGCCUCAUUGAAAAAGGAUACAACCUAUUACUCAGGUUAAUGUUUUUAUAGACCUAGCAUAAGUUGGCCUAAGAGCAGCCACCUUUAAAAUAGCGUCAAAGCUUUCUCUACCGUCUUCUCAAAUCCCGUAAUCCCUACAGAACCCGAUACUAUUAUUGAGUCCUUCUAUACUUCUAUAGAAGUGUCUAUGUUAAAACUAGUAACACAGAACUUAUUCUCCCUAUGUAAGUGUAAAUCAGACAGAAUAAAUCACUGAUAAUUAUUCAGUAAUGAAUUUACUGUAAUAACCCCACUAGAAAACCCUACAGCCCUUUACUGUUAACCUAACACAAGAACAUAAGAGAAAGAUUAAAAGAUAAGGAAGGAACUCGGCAAAUCUAAAUCCCGCCUGUUUACCAAAAACAUCGCCUUUUGCACACUAUAUAAGGUAAUGCCUGCCCAG